GAUGAAGAACGUAGCGAAAUGCGAUAAGUAGUGUGAAUUGCAGAAUUCAGUGAAUCAUCGAAUCUUUGAACGCACAUUGCGCCCCUUGGUAUUCCAUGGGGCAUGCCUGUUCGAGCGUCAUUUGUACCUUCAAGCUUUGCUUGGUGUUGGGCGUCUGUCCCGCCCCCGCGCGCGGACUCGCCCCAAAUCCAUUGGCGGCGGCCCUUGCCUCCCUCUCGCGCAGCACAUUGCGCUUCUCGAGGCGUCGCGGGCCGCGCUCCACGAAGCACGCAAACCAGUCUUUGACCUCGGAUCAGGUAGGGAUACCCGCUGAACUUAAGCAUAUCAAUAAGCGGAGGA
This 339-nucleotide unclassified non-coding RNA is filed under the name soil metagenome. RNAcentral describes it as "partial contains 5.8S ribosomal RNA, internal transcribed spacer 2, and large subunit ribosomal RNA". The stretch from base 1 to 120 matches the Rfam family "5.8S ribosomal RNA", at positions 35 to 154 of the family's 154-position model. The record is from RNAcentral.